UUACAGUCAUACCACAUUAAAACAUUGGUUCUCAUAUGAUCACCAAAGUUAAGCAAGCCAAGGCUGGUUAGUACAUAGAUGGGUGACUGCUUGGGAAUACCAGAUGCUGUAAG
Non-coding RNA from Acanthosepion pharaonis, 113 nucleotides. NCBI's taxonomy places the organism in Eukaryota, Metazoa, Mollusca, Cephalopoda, Sepiida, Sepiidae. The record is from the annotation of a GenBank genome assembly.